This 44-nucleotide transfer RNA is filed under the name Psittaculirostris salvadorii (Salvadori's fig-parrot). RNAcentral's name for it is "partial tRNA-Glu". The record is from RNAcentral. Lineage: Eukaryota; Metazoa; Chordata; Aves; Psittaciformes; Psittacidae.
GUUCUUAUAGUUGAGGUAUCAACGAUGGCUUUUCAGGGCACAAA